UAGGGAAUCUUCGGCAAUGGACGAAAGUCUGACCGAGCAACGCCGCGCGAGUGAAGAAGGUUUUCGGAUCGUAAAACUCUGUUGUUAGAGAAGAACAAGGACGUUAGUAACUGAACGUCCCCUGACGGUAUCUAACCAGAAAGCCACGGCUAACUACGUGCCAGCAGCCGCGGUAAUACGUAGGUGGCAAGCGUUGUCCGGAUUUAUUGGGCGUAAAGCGAGCGCAGGCGGUUUCUUAAGUCUGAUGUGAAAGCGCCCGGCUCAACCGGGGAGGGUCAUUGGAAGCUGGGAGACUUGAGUGCAGAAGGGGAGAGUGGAAUUCCAUGUGUAGCGGUGAAAUGCGUAGAUAUAUGGAGGAACACCAGUGGCGAAGGCGGCUCUCUGGUCUGUAACUGACGCUGAGGCUCGAAAGCGUGGGGAGCAAACAGG
This 429-nucleotide ribosomal RNA is filed under the name Gemmatimonadota bacterium. RNAcentral describes it as "Gemmatimonadetes bacterium partial 16S ribosomal RNA". It matches the Rfam family "Bacterial small subunit ribosomal RNA", at positions 355 to 776 of the family's 1533-position model. The record is from RNAcentral. Lineage: Bacteria; Pseudomonadati; Gemmatimonadota.